RNAcentral lists this ribosomal RNA (478 nucleotides) under uncultured bacterium. RNAcentral describes it as "partial 16S ribosomal RNA". It matches the Rfam family "Bacterial small subunit ribosomal RNA", at positions 28 to 507 of the family's 1533-position model. The record is from RNAcentral.
GAUUAACGCUGGCGGCGUGCAUAACACAUGCAAGUCGAACGAUGAAACUCAUUAGAUUUCUUCGGAAUGAAAAUGAAUGGAUUAGUGGCGAACGGGUGAGUAACGCGUGAGUAACCUGCCUUACACAAGGGGAUAGCCUCUGGAAACGGAGAAUAAUACCCUAUGAAACCAGACAAUCGCAUGAUAAUCUGGUCAAAAUGUUUAGUGGUGUAAGAUGGACUUGCGUCUGAUUAGCUAGUUGAUGAGAUAAAAGCUCACCAAGGCAACGAUCAGUAGCCGGCUUGAGAGAGUGUACGGCCACAUUGGGACUGAGACACGGCCCAGACUCCUACGGGAGGCAGCAGUGGGGAAUUUUGCACAAUGGGGGAAACACUGAUGCAGCGACGCCGCGUGAUUUAGAAGGCAUUCGGGUUGUAAAAAUCUUUUGUAUAGGAAGAAAAUGACAGUACUAUACGAAUAAGGUCCGGCUAAUUACGUG